Molecule: ribosomal RNA, 443 nt
Filed under: Clostridioides difficile
Lineage: Bacteria; Bacillati; Bacillota; Clostridia; Peptostreptococcales; Peptostreptococcaceae
Description: bacterial LSU rRNA
Rfam family: Bacterial large subunit ribosomal RNA
Source: RNAcentral
AGUCGACCGCGGGGUGGUAACAUUCAGAGUGGAAAAGGCAGCCGACCAGAUCGUGAGCGAAGGGCCCUAAAGGUAAGUAAAGUGAAAAAGGAUGGGAGAUUGCACAGACAACCAGAAUGUUUGCUUAGAAGCAGUCACUCAUUAAAAGAGAGCGUAAUAGCACACUGGUCGAGUGAUCAUGCGCCGAAGAUUUCCGGGGCUAAAACUUACUACCGAAGCUACGGCAUCAGUAAUGAUAGGUAGGGGAGCUUCCCAUACGGGUUGAAGCAUGACCGUAAGGAAAUGGGGACAGAAUGGGAGUGAGAAUGUUGACAUGAGUAGCGAGAUGUGUGUGAGCAUCCCUCAGGCAGUCGACCCAAGGUUUCGCAGGGAAGAUCAGUACGACCUUGCUUCGUGGUGAGCUCAACUAGCGCCAGAAGGCUCUCGUGGUGGGCAUCAGGUUG